CAGCAGCCGCGGGAAUACGAAGGGGGCUAGCGUUGCUCGGAAUUACUGGGCGUAAAGGGAGCGUAGGCGGACGUUUAAGUCAGGGGUGAAAUCCCGGGGCUCAACCUCGGAAUUGCCUUUGAUACUGGGUGUCUUGAGUAUGAGAGAGGUAUGUGGAACUCCGAGUGUAGAGGUGAAAUUCGUAGAUAUUCGGAAGAACACCAGUGGCGAAGGCGACAUACUGGCUCAUUACUGACGCUGAGGCUCGAAAGCGUGGGGAGCAAACAGGAUUAGAUACCCGUGUAGUCCCUGUCUCUUAUAC
RNAcentral lists this ribosomal RNA (301 nucleotides) under uncultured bacterium. RNAcentral describes it as "partial 16S ribosomal RNA". It matches the Rfam family "Bacterial small subunit ribosomal RNA", at positions 509 to 807 of the family's 1533-position model. The record is from RNAcentral.